UUUGAAAUCUGGCAGUCUUCGAUUGUCCGAGUUGUAAUCUAUAGAGGCGUUUUCCGUGCCGGACCGUGUCCAAGUCUCCUGGAAAGGAGUAUCAAAGAGGGUGAUAAUCCCGUACUUAACACGACCACCGGUGCUCUGUGAUACGUCUUCUACGAGUCGAGUUGUUUGGGAAUGCAGCUCAAAAUGGGUGGUGAAUUCCAUCUAAAGCUAAAUAUUGGCGAGAGACCGAUAGCGAACAAGUACCGUGAGGGAAAGAUGAAAAGCACUUUGGAAAGAGAGUUAAACAGUACGUGAAAUUGUUGAAAGGGAAACGAUUGAAGUCAGUCGUGUUCUUUGGAUUCAGCCAGUUCUGCUGGUCUACUUCCUUGGAACGGGUCAACAUCAGUUUUGUCCGGUGGAUAAAGGUAGUAGGAAUGUGACUUCCCCGGAAGUGUUAUAGCCUAUUAUCACAUACACUGGGUGAGACUGAGGACUGCAGCUCACCUUUAUGGCCGGUCUUCGGACACGUUCGAGCUUAGGAUGUUGACAUAAUAGG
Molecule: ribosomal RNA, 535 nt
Filed under: Trichosporon asteroides
Lineage: Eukaryota; Fungi; Basidiomycota; Tremellomycetes; Trichosporonales; Trichosporonaceae
Description: eukaryotic LSU rRNA
Rfam family: Eukaryotic large subunit ribosomal RNA
Source: RNAcentral